CACGUAGUUAGCCGGCGCUUUUUCUGUAAGUACCGUCACUUUCGCUUCUUCCUUACUAAAAGGGGUUUACAACCCGAAGGCCUUCAUCCCCCACGCGGCGUCGCUGCAUCAGGCUUUCGCCCAUUGUGCAAUAUUCCCCACUGCUGCCUCCCGUAGGAGUCUGGGCCGUGUCUCAGUCCCAGUGUGGCCGGUCGCCCUCUCAGGCCGGCUACCCGUCGUCGCCUUGGUGAGCCAUUACCUCACCAACAAGCUGAUAGGCCGCGAGUCCAUCCCAGACCAAUAAAUCUUUCCAAAGCUUCAGAUGCCUGAGCUUUUCGUAUCCGGUAUUAGCCCCGGUUUCCCGAGGUUAUCCCAGAGUCUGGGGCAGGUUACUCACGUGUUACUCACCCGUUCGCCACUGAUCCACAAGAGCAAGCUCUCGCUUCACCGUUCGACUUGCAUGUGUUAAGCACGCCGCCAGCGUUCGUCCUGAGCCAGGAUCAAACUACU
This 489-nucleotide ribosomal RNA is filed under the name uncultured Actinomycetales bacterium. Its description in RNAcentral is "partial 16S ribosomal RNA". The record is from RNAcentral. Lineage: Bacteria; Bacillati; Actinomycetota; Actinomycetes; Actinomycetales.